This is a long non-coding RNA of Arachis duranensis, 1272 nucleotides long. RefSeq lists it as uncharacterized. The transcript has 3 exons. The record is from RefSeq and is a predicted model, not a curated record. Lineage: Eukaryota; Viridiplantae; Streptophyta; Magnoliopsida; Fabales; Fabaceae.
AUGUUUUUACUUUAAAUUACUACCUUGUCUUAAUCCCUAAAAUUCCCGAUUUCACUACACAACACAAAUCCUAAUUUACCUUCUCUAACCUAAACCCUACCCACAUUAACACACACACACACGGUACCUAACCCACCCCUCACUCAAGUCACACACUCAGACUCAACAAGCACACACACACACACAAACAAAAUGAAAGAAGAAAAGAAAAAGAAAGGAAAAAGGGGGAAGAGAUAGGUCUGAGAGGGAGAGAGCGACGGGGAUGGGUGAGCUGCAACGGGGGAGAAGGGAAGAGAGAAAAGAGGGGACCUGAGAGAGAGGGAAGGCACUGGGGAAGGAGAAGCUCGCUGCCACCGUGGAGUACUGCUUCUUGCGCCGCCAUUCGUCCUUGCCGCCGCCAACUGCGCCGUCGCGGAGGUGAGACCGAUUCCGUCACCAUCGCCGCGCCGUGCUACACGCCGUCGCCGCCACUGUUUCGUCACGAGUGAAGAACGCGCGAGGGAGGAAACAGAACCGCGAGGGAGCUCAGCCACAGAGAGAGGAGACGCGCGUCGAAUCUGUCGUCGCCGGUCCGCCCAGCUGACCCAUCGCCAAAACACGUCACCGUCUAUGAAGCUGUCUUUGUCGCCGCUGUCGGAGGUCGCCAUCGGAGCGCUAGCCUCCGCUCCACUUCUGUCAUUCUUCUUCUUACAUUGAGUUGCUCGCGCGUUGAAGCUCUUUCUGUAAUCAUUCUAGCUAUCUGUGGUUAAGGACUUUGAUGUAUAGAUGUUGUAGGGUUAAUUUUAUGGGUUUGCAUGUCAAAAAUUAAGGUUGUUGCUGAGUCACUGAAGCUCCUGGCCGCUGUCGGAGCUACUGCCGGUUAAGUUUGGGGUGGCUGGCGCGUCGUUCUUUUAUUCCAGAGUUAAUAAUCGGGGUUGCAUGUUGGGACUUAAAGAUGUUUAUGCUGUGGUAAAAGUGUGCGGGCUAUGAAUUGAAGCUGCUAUUGACUUCGGGUCGAGAGGAAAGGAAUUUCUUGAGUCAUUUGGAUUGUGGUUUGAACGUGUCGAGGCUUCUCUUUUCAGGAAACGGACGAAGAAGCUUAUGAAAAGUAGUUGAGUUUAGCUUAUGCGAUAGAUCAGAAGAUGUUUUAGUUUAGUUAUUAUUAUUCUUCCCUCACCAUUAAUAUUAUAAUUUUUACAAGAGGGAUAGGAGUUUUGAUAUGUGAAGUUUAUAUAUUGGAAUGAUGUAUUUAUAUAUAUAUUAUUUGCAACUAUUGUAGAUUGUAUUGAAAGG